AAUCAACGCUGGCGGCGUGCCUCAGACAUGCAAGUCGAACGCGAAAGUCCCCUUCGGGGGACAAGUAGAGUGGCGCACGGGUGAGUAACACGUAGGUAAUCUACCUUCGGAUGGGGAAUAACAACCGGAAACGUUGCUAAUACCGCAUAAUGCAGCGGCACCUAAUGGUGACAGUUGUUAAAGCGGGGGGAUCGUAAGGACCUCGCGUCUGAAGAGGAGCCUGCGGCGGAUUAGCUAGUUGGAA
RNAcentral lists this ribosomal RNA (244 nucleotides) under uncultured bacterium. RNAcentral's name for it is "partial 16S ribosomal RNA". It matches the Rfam family "Bacterial small subunit ribosomal RNA", at positions 32 to 254 of the family's 1533-position model. The record is from RNAcentral.